RNAcentral lists this ribosomal RNA (593 nucleotides) under uncultured bacterium. RNAcentral's name for it is "bacterial SSU rRNA". It matches the Rfam family "Bacterial small subunit ribosomal RNA", at positions 338 to 950 of the family's 1533-position model. The record is from RNAcentral.
CCUACGGGAGGCAGCAGUAAGGAAUCUUCCACAAUGGACGAAAGUCUGAUGGAGCAACGCCGCGUGCAGGAUGAAGGCUUUCGGGUCGUAAACUGCUUUUAUAUGGGAAGAUUAUGACGGUACCAUAUGAAUAAGGACCGGCUAACUACGUGCCAGCAGCCGCGGUAAUACGUAGGGUCCAAGCGAUAUCCGGAAUUACUGGGCGUAAAGCGUGUGUAGGUGGAUUAAUAAGUGUGAUGCGAAAUCCGGCGGCUCAACCGUUUGGACUGUGUCGCAUACUGUUAGUCUAGAGGACGGCAGAGGUAAGUGGAAUUACGGGUGUAGCAGUGAAAUGCGUAGAUAUCCGUAGGAACACCAAUGGCGAAGGCAGCUUACUGGGCCACACCUGACACUGAGACACGAAAGCGUGGGGAGCGAACAGGAUUAGAUACCCUGGUAGUCCACGCCGUAAACGAUGCAUACUAUUAGUAUGGGGUAUCGACCCCCUGUGCUGAGAAGCUAACGCGAUAAGUAUGCCGCCUGGGGAGUACGAGCGCAAGCUUAAAACUCAAAGGAAUUGACGGCNGAGAGNGCGAGACGACACGAGGGAGAGG